GACGAACCGUGCGAACGUUAUUCGGAAUCACUGGGCUUAAAGCGCGUGCAGGCGGUCCGGCACGUCCGUCGCUGAAAUCCCCCGGCUCAACCGGGGAACCGGCGCGGAUACGACCGGGCUCGAGGGGGGUAGGGGGAUCGGGAACUUCCGGUGGAGCGGUGAAAUGCGUUGAGAUCGGAAGGAACGCCCGUGGCGAAAGCGCGGUCCUGGACCCCACCUGACGCUGAGACGCGAAAGCCAGGGGA
RNAcentral lists this ribosomal RNA (245 nucleotides) under uncultured bacterium. Its description in RNAcentral is "partial 16S ribosomal RNA". It matches the Rfam family "Bacterial small subunit ribosomal RNA", at positions 524 to 767 of the family's 1533-position model. The record is from RNAcentral.